UAUGCCGCGUGGAGGAUAAGGUCUUCGGAUUGUAAACUCCUGUUGAUCGGGACGAAUGGCUCCGACCUAACACGUCGGAGAAUGACGGUACCGGUUGAGGAAGCCACGGCUAACUCUGUGCCAGCAGCCGCGGUAAUACAGAGGUGGCAAGCGUUGUUCGGAAUUACUGGGCGUAAAGGGCGCGUAGGCGGCCUUCUAAGUCGGACGUGAAAGCCCCAGGCUUAACCUGUGAACUGCGUCCGAUACUGGGAGGCUUGGAUUCGGGAGAGGAAUGUGGAAUUCCAGGUGUAGCGGUGAAAUGCGUAGAUAUCUGGAGGAACACCGGUGGCGAAGGCGGCAUUCUGGACCGACAUCGACGCUGAGGCGCGAAAGCCAGGGGAGCAAACGGGAUUAGAUACCCCGGUAGUCCUGGCCCUAAACGGUGAGUGCUUGGUGUGGCGGGUAUCGAUCCCUGCCGUGCCGAAGCUAACGCAUUAAGCACUCCGCCUGGGGAGUACGGUCGCAAGGCUGAAACUCAUAGGAAUUGACGGGGUGCCGCACAAGCGGUGGCGCAUGUGGUUUACU
RNAcentral lists this ribosomal RNA (564 nucleotides) under uncultured bacterium. Its description in RNAcentral is "bacterial SSU rRNA". It matches the Rfam family "Bacterial small subunit ribosomal RNA", at positions 393 to 950 of the family's 1533-position model. The record is from RNAcentral.